This 73-nucleotide transfer RNA is filed under the name bacterium. RNAcentral describes it as "tRNA-Lys". It matches the Rfam family "tRNA". Rfam says of the family: Transfer RNA (tRNA) molecules are approximately 80 nucleotides in length. Their secondary structure includes four short double-helical elements and three loops (D, anti-codon, and T loops). Further hydrogen bonds mediate the characteristic L-shaped molecular structure. tRNAs have two regions of fundamental functional importance: the anti-codon, which is responsible for specific mRNA codon recognition, and the 3' end, to which the tRNAs corresponding amino acid is attached (by aminoacyl-tRNA synthetases). tRNAs cope with the degeneracy of the genetic code in two manners: having more than one tRNA (with a specific anti-codon) for a particular amino acid; and 'wobble' base-pairing, i.e. permitting non-standard base-pairing at the 3rd anti-codon position. The record is from RNAcentral. RNAcentral also lists the same sequence under 3 other names.
GGGAUAUUAGCUCAGUCGGUAGAGCACCUGACUUUUAAUCAGGUUGUCGGGGGUUCGAAUCCCCCAUAUCUCA